UACGGAGGGUGCAAGCGUUAAUCGGAAUUACUGGGCGUAAAGCGUGCGCAGGCGGUUUGUUAAGUCUGUUGUGAAAUCCCCGAGCUCAACUUGGGAAUUGCAAUGGAUACUGGCAAGCUGGAGUAUGGUAGAGGAAGGUGGAAUUCCCGGUGUAGCAGUGAAAUGCGUAGAGAUCGGGAGGAACACCAGUGGCGAAGGCGGCCUUCUGGUCUGUAACUGACGCUGAGGCGCGAAAGCGUGGGGAGCAAACAGG
RNAcentral lists this ribosomal RNA (253 nucleotides) under uncultured bacterium. Its description in RNAcentral is "partial 16S ribosomal RNA". It matches the Rfam family "Bacterial small subunit ribosomal RNA", at positions 524 to 776 of the family's 1533-position model. The record is from RNAcentral.